Molecule: ribosomal RNA, 585 nt
Filed under: Saccharomyces cerevisiae (brewer's yeast)
Lineage: Eukaryota; Fungi; Ascomycota; Saccharomycetes; Saccharomycetales; Saccharomycetaceae
Description: eukaryotic LSU rRNA
Rfam family: Eukaryotic large subunit ribosomal RNA
Source: RNAcentral
CAAUAAGCGGAGGAAAAGAAACCAACCGGGAUUGCCUUAGUAACGGCGAGUGAAGCGGCAAAAGCUCAAAUUUGAAAUCUGGUACCUUCGGUGCCCGAGUUGUAAUUUGGAGAGGGCAACUUUGGGGCCGUUCCUUGUCUAUGUUCCUUGGAACAGGACGUCAUAGAGGGUGAGAAUCCCGUGUGGCGAGGAGUGCGGUUCUUUGUAAAGUGCCUUCGAAGAGUCGAGUUGUUUGGGAAUGCAGCUCUAAGUGGGUGGUAAAUUCCAUCUAAAGCUAAAUAUUGGCGAGAGACCGAUAGCGAACAAGUACAGUGAUGGAAAGAUGAAAAGAACUUUGAAAAGAGAGUGAAAAAGUACGUGAAAUUGUUGAAAGGGAAGGGCAUUUGAUCAGACAUGGUGUUUUGUGCCCUCUGCUCCUUGUGGGUAGGGGAAUCUCGCAUUUCACUGGGCCAGCAUCAGUUUUGGUGGCAGGAUAAAUCCAUAGGAAUGUAGCUUGCCUCGGUAAGUAUUAUAGCCUGUGGGAAUACUGCCAGCUGGGACUGAGGACUGCGACGUAAGUCAAGGAUGCUGGCAUAAUGGUUUAUC